CACGGGGGGAGCAAGCGUUGUUCGGAAUCACUGGGCGUAAAGGGCGUGUAGGCGGUCAGGUAAGUGGGACGUGAAAUCCCUCGGCUCACCCGAGGACCUGCGUCCCAAACUGCUUGACUUGAGUAUGGGAGAGGAUGAGGGAAUUCCUGGUGUAGCGGUGAAAUGCGUAGAUAUCAGGAGGAACACCGGUGGCGAAGGCGCUCAUCUGGCCCAAUACUGACGCUGAGGCGCGAAAGCUAGGGGAGCAAACGGG
Molecule: ribosomal RNA, 253 nt
Filed under: uncultured bacterium
Lineage: Bacteria
Description: partial 16S ribosomal RNA
Rfam family: Bacterial small subunit ribosomal RNA
Source: RNAcentral